AGACCCGAAACCCGGUGAUCUAGCCAUGGGCAGGUUGAAGGUUGGGUAACACUAACUGGAGGACCGAACCGACUAAUGUUGAAAAAUUAGCGGAUGACCUGUGGCUGGGGGUGAAAGGCCAAUCAAACCGGGAGAUAGCUGGUUCUCCCCGAAAGCUAUUUAGGUAGCGCCUCGUGAAUUCAUCUCCGGGGGUAGAGCACUGUUUCGGCUAGGGGGCCAUCCCGGCUUACCAACCCGAUGCAAACUGCGAAUACCGGAGAAUGUUAUCACGGGAGACACACGGCGGGUGCUAACGUCCGUCGUGAAGAGGGAAACAACCCAGACCGCCAGCUAAGGUCCCAAAGUCAUGGUUAAGUGGGAAACGAUGUGGGAAGGCCCAGACAGCCAGGAUGUUGGCUUAGAAGCAGCCAUCAUUUAAAGAAAGCGUAAUAGCUCACUGGUCGAGUCGGCCUGCGCGGAAGAUGUAACGGGGCUAAACCAUGCACCGAAGCUGCGGCAGCGACACUCAGGUGUUGUUGGGUAGGGGAGCGUUCUGUAAGCCUGCGAAGGUGGCCUGUGAGGGUUGCUGGAGGUAUCAGAAGUGCGAAUGCUGACAUAAGUAACGAUAAAGCGGGUGAAAAGCCCGCUCGCCGGAAGACCAAGGGUUCCUGUCCAACGUUAAUCGGGGCAGGGUGAGUCGACCCCUAAGGCGAGGCCGAAAGGCGUAGUCGAUGGGAAACGGGUUAAUAUUCCCGUACUUGGUGUUACUGCGAAGGGGGGACGGAGAAGGCUAUGUUGGCCGGGCGACGGUUGUCCCGGUUUAAGCGUGUAGGUGUGUGUUCCAGGUAAAUCCGGUUCACUUUAACACUGAGGCGUGAUGACGAGGCACUACGGUGCUGAAGCAACAAAUGCCCUGCUUCCAGGAAAAGCCUCUAAGCAUCAGGUAACAUCAAAUCGUACCCCAAACCGACACAGGUGGUCAGGUAGAGAAUACCAAGGCGCUUGAGAGAACUCGGGUGAAGGAACUAGGCAAAAUGGUGCCGUAACUUCGGGAGAAGGCACGCUGACACGUAGGUGAAGUGAUUUACUCAUGGAGCUGAAGUCAGUCGAAGAUACCAGCUGGCUGCAACUGUUUAUUAAAAACACAGCACUGUGCAAACACGAAAGUGGACGUAUACGGUGUGACGCCUGCCCGGUGCCGGAAGGUUAAUUGAUGGGGUCAGCGCAAGCGAAGCUCCUGAUCGAAGCCCCGGUAAACGGCGGCCGUAACUAUAACGGUCCUAAGGUAGCGAAAUUCCUUGUCGGGUAAGUUCCGACCUGCACGAAUGGCGUAAUGAUGGCCAGGCUGUCUCCACCCGAGACUCAGUGAAAUUGAACUCGCUGUGAAGAUGCAGUGUACCCGCGGCAAGACGGAAAGACCCCGUGAACCUUUACUAUAGCUUGACACUGAACAUUGAGCCUUGAUGUGUAGGAUAGGUGGGAGGCUUUGAAGUGUGGACGCCAGUCUGCAUGGAGCCGGCCUUGAAAUACCACCCUUUAAUGUUUGAUGUUCUAACGUGGACCCGUGAUCCGGGUUGCGGACAGUGUCUGGUGGGUAGUUUGACUGGGGCGGUCUCCUCCUAAAGAGUAACGGAGGAGCACGAAGGUUGGCUAAUCCUGGUCGGACAUCAGGAGGUUAGUGCAAUGGCAUAAGCCAGCUUGACUGCGAGCGUGACGGCGCGAGCAGGUGCGAAAGCAGGUCAUAGUGAUCCGGUGGUUCUGAAUGGAAGGGCCAUCGCUCAACGGAUAAAAGGUACUCCGGGGAUAACAGGCUGAUACCGCCCAAGAGUUCAUAUCGACGGCGGUGUUUGGCACCUCGAUGUCGGCUCAUCACAUCCUGGGGCUGAAGUAGGUCCCAAGGGUAUGGCUGUUCGCCAUUUAAAGUGGUACGCGAGCUGGGUUUAGAACGUCGUGAGACAGUUCGGUCCCUAUCUGCCGUGGGCGCUGGAGAACUGAGGGGGGCUGCUCCUAGUACGAGAGGACCGGAGUGGACGCAUCACUGGUGUUCGGGUUGUCAUGCCAAUGGCACUGCCCGGUAGCUAAAUGCGGAAGAGAUAAGUGCUGAAAGCAUCUAAGCACGAAACUUGCCCCGAGAUGAGUUCUCCCUGAGACUUAG
RNAcentral lists this ribosomal RNA (2134 nucleotides) under Salmonella enterica. RNAcentral describes it as "partial 23S ribosomal RNA". It matches the Rfam family "Bacterial large subunit ribosomal RNA", at positions 711 to 2824 of the family's 2925-position model. Lineage: Bacteria; Pseudomonadati; Pseudomonadota; Gammaproteobacteria; Enterobacterales; Enterobacteriaceae. The record is from RNAcentral.